CAACAGGAGACUCCGCCCAUGAGCAGUCAGCCAGGAAACUGGAGACUGAAAAAUAAAAAACAGCAGAAGCAGAGAACGGGGACAUGACAAGAUAAAGCAAAAUCAAAUAAAAUUGGCUCAAUUCAUCUCUGCAGUCGCAUGUGUGCACAGACAUCUGAUAGCACUGUCAGAUGGCAUACAACCGGGACCACCACCCAUGCUGGAGUUUGAAUUUAUGUUUUGAUGCUGGUUGAAGUGACUUCCAGUGAGCUAGACUCUGGAUGUUUCAAGAGAUUAAGCAUGUCUGUCAUGUUUGGUAACACACGUCACGUAUGUGUAACACUAACAAUGAGUGAGGAGGAUAUUCUCCAACCUGUGAGGUGAUGACAGGAGGAUCUAGAGUGAUGGAUGUAAAGCUGCGUGCUGACACAGUUACGCCCCCAGACAGUGUCAUCUAAUGAUCUGUGACAUAUCAGCCACUUCCGCUAUAGCUUUUAUCGUCUGCUAAUCACAAUAGUGCCCUAAAGGUCGCUAUGUUGGAUAGAUUCCAGGCAGUGGCAGAGAUAUCAAGGGUCAAAGAAGGCAAAGAAAAAGCAUGUAUUGUCUGUCAUUCUUAUUGCUGUCUUUACUGAUAAAAUUAUACAUGAGGU
Molecule: long non-coding RNA, 629 nt
Organism: Phyllopteryx taeniolatus (common seadragon)
Lineage: Eukaryota; Metazoa; Chordata; Actinopteri; Syngnathiformes; Syngnathidae
Exons: 5
Source: RefSeq, a predicted model, not a curated record